Molecule: long non-coding RNA, 563 nt
Organism: Ruditapes philippinarum (Manila clam)
Lineage: Eukaryota; Metazoa; Mollusca; Bivalvia; Venerida; Veneridae
Exons: 3
Source: RefSeq, a predicted model, not a curated record
UGCAAUCUUUUUUGUACAAAAAUUUGUAAUGAUCUUUAAAAUCUAUAUAUCAAUUAGCUAUUUCAUAUUUUCUUUCACGCUCAAAGAAUAUAAGUUAAAAUGAUGAGCAGAUUAACCCUGCUUUACAUAAUGAUAGACCUGUCCUGAGUAACUGUUGUAAAUUUUGAAUUCUAAGAUAUCUGGGUCAGCAAAGAGUGCAUUGAAAUUACAGAGGAUGUACUUGAUAUUUUAGCAGUUUUGGAGAUAUUGUUUUGUUUAAGACUUUAAAGUGUUUAAGUAUUGGUAUGAUAACAAUAAGAAUCACCUGGGAAAAGGAGAUAUACAACAGAAUCAGGCUGGGACAUAAGUGCUGACUGUGAGAAUUACCAACAGUGUUUAAUAAUGAUGUGCAGUAUUAAUCCUGAAAAGGUGAGCACAACCACAAGAAGUUCUAGGAAACAUAGGUAGAGGACUGAAAAUGGACAUCAAUAUAAGAAAUAGUAAUUUAAAUAAUCAGAAACACUUGAAACAAAUCUAAGAUUAAAACAGUUUAUCAUUGACAGAUUAAGAGCAAAAUAAUUGCU